Molecule: ribosomal RNA, 510 nt
Filed under: uncultured bacterium
Lineage: Bacteria
Description: partial 16S ribosomal RNA
Rfam family: Bacterial small subunit ribosomal RNA
Source: RNAcentral
GACGAACGCUGGCGGCGUGCUUAACACAUGCAAGUCGAACGAAGAGCGACGGAAGCUUGCUUCUAUCAAUCUUAGUGGCGAACGGGUGAGUAACGCGUAAUCAACCUGCCCUUCAGAGGGGGACAACAGUUGGAAACGACUGCUAAUACCGCAUACGAUCUAACCUCGGCAUCGAGGAUAGAUGAAAGGUGGCCUCUACAUGUAAGCUAUCACUGAAGGAGGGGAUUGCGUCUGAUUAGCUAGUUGGAGGGGUAACGGCCCACCAAGGCGAUGAUCAGUAGCCGGUCUGAGAGGAUGAACGGCAACAUUGGGACUGGGACACGGCCCAGACUCCUACGGGAGGCAGCAGUGGGGAAUCUUCCGCGAUGGACGAAAGUCUGACGGAGCAACGCCGCGUGAGUGAUGACGGCCGUCGGGUUGUAAAGCUCUGUUAAUCGGGACGAAAGGCCUUCUUGCGAAUAGUGAGAAGGAUUGACGGUACCGGAAUAGAAAGCCACGGCUAACUACGUG